AGGGAAUUUUCGUCAAUGGGGGGAACCCUGAACGAGCAAUGCCGCGUGAGUGAGGAAGGUCUUCGGAUCGUAAAGCUCUGUUGUAAGAGAAAAACGGCACUCAUAGGGAAUGAUGAGUGAGUGAUGGUAUCUUACCAGAAAGUCACGGCUAACUACGUGCCAGCAGCCGCGGUAAUACGUAGGUGGCGAGCGUUAUCCGGAAUGAUUGGGCGUAAAGGGUGCGUAGGUGGCAGAUCAAGUCUGGAGUAAAAGGUAUGGGCUCAACCCGUACUGGCUCUGGAAACUGAUCAGCUAGAGAACAGAAGAGGACGGCGGAACUCCAUGUGUAGCGGUAAAAUGCGUAGAUAUAUGGAAGAACACCGGUGGCGAAGGCGGCCGUCUGGUCUGGAUUCUGACACUGAAGCACGAAAGCGUGGGGAGCAAAUAGGAUUAGAUACCCUAGUAGUCCACGCCGUAAACGAUGAGAACUAGGUGUUGGGGGAAUAACUCAGUGCCGCAGUUAACGCAGUAAGUUCUCCGCCUGGGGAGUAUGCACGCAAGUGUGAAACUCAAAGGAAUUGACGGGGGCCCGCACAAGCGGUGGAGUAUGUGGUUUAAUUCGAAGCAACGCGAAGAACCUUACCAGGCCUUGACAUCCCUUGCAGAGGUAUAGAGAUAUAUCCGAGGUUAUCAAGGAGACAGGUGGUGCAUGGUUGUCGUCAGCUCGUGUCGUGAGAUGUUGGGUUAAGUCCCGCAACGAGCGCAACCCUUGUGAUAUGUUACUAACAUUGAGUUGAGGACUCAUAUCAGACUGCCGGUGAUAAACCGGAGGAAGGUGGGGAUGACGUCAAAUCAUCAUGCCCCUUAUGGCCUGGGCUACACACGUACUACAAUGGCGUCUACAAAGAGCGGCAAGCCUGUGAAGGCAAGCGAAUCUCAUAAAGGACGUCUCAGUUCGGAUUGAAGUCUGCAACCCGACUUCAUGAAGCUGGAAUCGCUAGUAAUCGCGAAUCAGCAUGUCGCGGUGAAUACGUUCUCG
RNAcentral lists this ribosomal RNA (1018 nucleotides) under uncultured bacterium. RNAcentral describes it as "bacterial SSU rRNA". It matches the Rfam family "Bacterial small subunit ribosomal RNA", at positions 356 to 1376 of the family's 1533-position model. The record is from RNAcentral.